This 70-nucleotide small nucleolar RNA is filed under the name Cynoglossus semilaevis (tongue sole). RNAcentral's name for it is "Small nucleolar RNA SNORA24 (ENSCSEG00000001750.1)". The record is from RNAcentral. Lineage: Eukaryota; Metazoa; Chordata; Actinopteri; Pleuronectiformes; Cynoglossidae.
AUCCACGUUACCAUGGGAGCUGUGCUCUUAAAUGCCAGUCUCCCUUCCUAGGCGUGGAACAUCAACCCUC